This 2678-nucleotide long non-coding RNA is filed under the name Solanum lycopersicum (tomato). RNAcentral's name for it is "long non-coding RNA (SLYC_LNC001020)". Lineage: Eukaryota; Viridiplantae; Streptophyta; Magnoliopsida; Solanales; Solanaceae. The record is from RNAcentral.
AUUGGGCAAAAACUCAAUGACUGAGCGAAGAUGAUUUGCUUUUUUUUAUGUUUAGAUCUAAAAAUACUUUAUCACAUAAAAUUUUUAUCAAAAUAAGAUUACGAACCUAUAGGCAUGCUUUUCUAACACAAAUAAGUUUUCAAAUAAGAGGCGAUUACUGCAUAAUUCCCCUCCCCUUAGGCGAUCCACCCCAAAUUUAUUUUAUAUAUAUAGGUAGGGUUAGAGAAUUAUACUCAUUGUAACAGAAAUAACGAAUGAAAAUAUACAAAACAUUAAAAUAAAUGAAGCUUCGUCUGAAAUUUCUUCUAGGCCACUCUUCAUCAUCUUAAACUUUAAGUUCAAAACCUGCUAGAAUAGGUAAGCUAUCACAUAUACAAUGGAUAAAUGAUUGUAAUAUAGUAGACUCAUAGUAGCAAAUUACUCUCAUAUAUAUGUAAAUAACACACAAAAAGAAAUAAAGAAUAGUCAUAGUUAUAUUAUCAAACGUAAAAGGAUAGUGAAACUAACUUAGAUGCUUCCUUGUUGUUUCGUUUUUCAACACACAAAUAUUUAUAAUUAUGUAAAUAAAUCAAAUUAAAAUUAAUAAAUAAUACUAACCAAUUAUGCAGAAAAGAUUAUCAACAAUAGAGACAGAGUAAUCCCAAUACAACAAAGUAGCAAAAGCACUUGAAUAUUUGCCGGAAUCUUAACUUAUUUUUAAGAGUAGAGCAAUAUUAUUAGUAUUCAAGUAUGAGAGUGAGUUAAGAAAAAGGUACCACUUAUUUUAGAAGAAUGAGUGAUGAGUUGAGAGAAUGAAUGUGUGCAUGUGCAAUGAGAGAAUGAGAGAACUUUUAACAAGAGUUAGUGUUGAAAUUGAGAGGAGUGAGUCUUAUUAUAUAGCAAAGAGGAGGAGCACAUAAGAAAAUAAAUAAAUUAACGAGUAAAUUAUUAAACUAUUUUCUUAUUUUCGCGGAGGGCCAAAAUCAGAAAAAUAAUUUAAUUAUUUUUUACCAAAUAUAAGCAAGUAAGAAUAAAUUUAAAGAGAGUAAUAUUUAUUUUCCUUAAAUAAAGAGGAGCCAAAAUCAGAUUUUUUAAAAAAAUAUGCCAUUACCAAAAAUAAUUAAGUAAGAAGUAAAAUUAGGAACAAAAAAUAUUUUUCUGAAAUAAAGAAGAGUAAAAAAUUAGAUUUUAUUUUAAUUAUUUUUUAUUAAAAAAAUUGAGAGAUCAAUCAUUUUUCAAGUAAGGAAAAAUGAUCAAUUAAUAUAUUUUACUUAAAUAAUAGCAUUGAAUCAUAUUUUUUUUUAAAAUAUAUUUUACCAAAUUAACCAAGGAAGAGAAAAAAUUUUAUUAGAUAAAGAAGGACCAAAAUUAGAAUUGAUUUAAGGCAAUUUUUCAAACAUAAAGCAAGUAGGAAAUUGGUUUAAGUUCUAAUUAACCAAAGGAAGCAAAUAAGGCUUAAGAGAAGAGAUAAAUUGGGAUCCACUAGUAUGUAUAUCCUUAACAAAUUUACAGUGAAGUCAAUCAAAGUUUACCUUAUAAUCAUCUUAACUAAGGAAAUAAUCAGUUUACGGCUUAACACAAUUAAAGGGACCAAACAUUAGUUCAUCAUUCCUUACUACGAAUGUAGCACCCUUACAUGGAUAUAUUACAACUAACUUCCACAAAUCAUAGACUUAGAGCAGUUUAUUACAAAAUUAAGCUAGCCAAAUGACUAACUUUAACAGGCAUAUUCACCACCAAAUUAGACAAAUGAAAGCAAUUUCAUAUUAGAACACAGAUAGAGAAUCAAUGAGCCACGAAUCUUCAAUCGCAACAGUAUAAUGUCAAGCAAACCUAAAAUUAAUCCAUUCUAGCAUAAAGAGGUUUAAACCCGGAGAACACCAGUAAUCACAAACGGUGACAAACACUAUGACCUCAAAUCAGGAGUUGAAUCCCACAUUUUCAUGUAAUAUACUCUAAGAAAGCAACAAGACGAACAUAGAGAAUGUAAUAGUUUCAUUAAAGAAUGAAAAAAAUGGCUCGACGGAUCUGAAAGAUCCGUUUAUUAUAAAUUGAUUGAUGAUCUCAGCAAACUGUAGCUAAGUCGGUAACUGCUUUCAUCCUCACUUGUUGGAGUUAUUGUUGUCCCCUUCGCCGGAGCUGUUGGUGGCCAUGGAACUCUGCCGAAGUUGCGGCUGUUGCUGAUUUUAGAGAUGAGAGGAAGAGAAUGGAGACGGAGAAGGGGAGGAAGACGAGAGGGAGAAGGGAAGAGGGGGGAAGAAAAAGUGAUACGAAAGGGACAGGAGAAGAGGGAGGAUGGUGGUGGAGAGAGGGAAGGCAGCUUGGUGGUCGGAAAAAGGGGGAGAGAGAGGAGGAACGACGGGAGAGGGAAGAAGAAGAGAGGGGGAGAAAGUGGAGGCGGCUGGAAUGAAGGGAGAGAAGAGAGGGGAAGGCUGCUAGAGAGUGGAGGGAGAAGAGAAUGAAAACUUUUUUAGGAAUUAGAAUCUCUUAGUUAGAAUAGGUAGGUUACAUCUGAACCAUGAGAUUAGUUUAGAUGGACGACUAGUAUUUAAUCUAGGAUUUAUUUUAAAGAUGAACGGAUGAGAUCAAAAGAUGAAGUCUUGAAAUUAGAUUGUGAAAAAUAUGGAAUGACUAAAAUUUUAAUUAAAUUGGCUAGAAUUGAAAUGAAAGAGUGGCUAUGAUUGGAAUAAAAUUUGAAG